CGUCCCUGUCCUUUGUACACACCGCCCGUCGCUACUACCGAUUGAAUUAUUUGGUGAGGUCCACGGAUUGUGGUGUCUGGCUUCGGUCCGUCACCGUGAGAAGUGGAACGAACCUGAUGAUUUAGAGGAAGUAAAAGUCGUAACAAGGUUUCCGUAGGUGAACCUGCGGAAGGAUCAUUAACACGUAUCCAACGUAUCAACACAUCAAUACACCUUUGUGAACUAGGUUAUCUGUGAACCCUUUGUCUUUUUUUUUCUCAAAAGAAGUUUACACAUCUUCUGUCCAUUGAAUGCGUCAGCAACAACAAAACAGAGUGCCAAUCUCAUUGUCACAUCUACAACCAAUACUAUUAGUAUUGAUCAAAUCAUGACCCUUAGCAAAGGAUGUCUUGGUUCCGGCAACGAUGAAGAACGCAGCGAAAUGCGAUACGUAAUGCGAAUUGCAGAAUUCAGUGAAUCAUCAAAUCUUUGAACGCAAAUUGCGCUCCGUAGGUGUCCCCUUGGAGCAUGCCUCCUUCAGUGUCGUUAUUACUCUUUAUCCAAGACGUGCGUUUGCACAAUCUCGCAUUGUGAGACGUCGUCGUUGCGGAUAGCAUUUAGAUCUGCUCCGUCACAUUCACAAGUGUGGGGAAGGAGGUCUACAAGUGUGUCACGUGUAUGAUUUGUACUCUCUUCUAUGUGCCUGUGUGCAAGUAAAGUGCUCUGGCAACCAGUGUUUGUAGUUCACCCACAUCAUUGAAUGGACGCUACACUUGUCAGAGCAAUUGAAGUAAACACACGCUACUAUAGGGUCAUAGACUUCAAAAGGGUGCAGACGCGCUACAUCACUUAACAACAACACAUUACAUUGACCUGAAGUGAGGUAAGAGGACCGGCCGAAUUUAAGCAUAUUAAUAAGCCGAGGAAAAGAAACUAACAAGGAUUCCCCUAGUAAUGGCGAAUGAAGCGGGAAUAGCUCAAGUUGAAAAGCGGUGCCACUUGUGGCAUCGCGUUGUAAACUGAUGAGCGCUAGUCAGUGGAGGACCCGGGGCA
This 1032-nucleotide ribosomal RNA is filed under the name Gymnochlora stellata. RNAcentral describes it as "eukaryotic LSU rRNA". The stretch from base 1 to 180 matches the Rfam family "Eukaryotic small subunit ribosomal RNA", at positions 1648 to 1831 of the family's 1831-position model. The record is from RNAcentral. Lineage: Eukaryota; Cercozoa; Chlorarachniophyceae.